AAUGCAUGACGCCGUUGACUUUUUAACAAACGUUUGACCUUUCGUUUUAUUUAAAAAUUUUAUAUAAUUAUAAUUUAUUUUAUUAUGAUUUGAUUUAUCAUCAAAUGUUCUUUAAGCAUGACAUAAGUAUUUUUAUAUUUGUAUAAAAAAUUUGAAUAAGACGAAUGGUCAAACGUUGAUUAAAAAGUUAACGGCGUCAUACAUU
Molecule: microRNA precursor, 205 nt
Filed under: Oryza rufipogon (brownbeard rice)
Lineage: Eukaryota; Viridiplantae; Streptophyta; Magnoliopsida; Poales; Poaceae
Description: MIR812 microRNA precursor family
Rfam family: MIR812 microRNA precursor family
Source: Rfam by way of RNAcentral